GGUCGCCAGGCGCCAAGACAGGAGGGAGCCGAUGGUGGGGAGGGGAGAGGAAUGAUUCCGAAGAUUCCAGGGAAUCGCUUGAUCAGACCUGUGUCUGUUGUGGAUCCCCAGCAGGAGCUGGCCUGGAGAUGCCGGAGCCAGCCUUGCUCUCCGAGGCUUCCUCUGCGUAAGGGGUGGCCUCCUGACUCUGACUUCCCCAUCUGCAGAGGAACAUGUGAAGAUCUGAAGGCUGGACCUUGCCAGAGAACAAUGCCAACAUUGAAGGCCUCGGUUGGAGUCUGCACAGUUGGAGAUCUUUGGUGCCACUUUAGACAUCUUUGGAUUUCAUCAAUCAAAUUGACUGCAAUUUUCCAUAAAAACCCUGAAUUUGGGUCAGAAAGUGGGCAAAGUAGAUAAAGAUCAUUCGAGCUGUCUUAUAAGAUGAUAAAUAGAUAUCCUUUCAGGCCAACAAUGCCAAA
This 458-nucleotide long non-coding RNA is filed under the name Equus caballus (horse). Its description in RNAcentral is "lncRNA (ENSECAG00000056238.1)". The record is from RNAcentral. Lineage: Eukaryota; Metazoa; Chordata; Mammalia; Perissodactyla; Equidae.